Molecule: non-coding RNA, 1198 nt
Organism: Paramormyrops kingsleyae
Lineage: Eukaryota; Metazoa; Chordata; Actinopteri; Osteoglossiformes; Mormyridae
Source: RefSeq, a predicted model, not a curated record
CAAGAAGGAGGAGUCACCUAAAACCGGUUCGCCUGUUGCCGACACGCCAGUACUGUCCUGUGUUUUUAGGAAAAGCCAGUCCGAAUUUCGUUUCAAAUCGUAUCUCGUCUGGGAGCUGGAGCCGGGGCCACUCGGUGUCGUUCGGUGCCUCAAGCCGCAAAUUGGGCGGAAUGCGCGAUGAAUAGCUCCGCUCGCCAUGAGCUCGGACGUCUCUGCUGCUACCGCUCAGUCCAACUGGCAACACAUGAAUCUCAUAAGUCUGUCGGCGGUCUUCGCCAAAAUGCUGCACUUUUUCUUCCCUCUCAAGAAACUGCGUCGCAAUGCGAAGUACCUCAUAUUUACCUCCUUGCUGUCAAUCGGCUUCUUUACAACCUACUUUUACUUCAAGGAAAACGCCGGUAACUACGGACUUGCUGCCUAGCAAAUUUCCUUUGCCACCUCAUGUCCUCACCAGCCUUCCUUUUGAAAGAUGACUCCUCUCUGGGAACAUGGGACAGCACUACAGACGUUUACUUGGAUGUGGGGAAGCUGUGUUGUGGUCCUCAGUUUCCUGCGUAUUAAACUGCCCCCCAUCAUGUGCACCCCAACUCCCCAUGUCAUCACAAUCAAUUUACCCAAACCCCUAACACCCCUGCAGUUUGCUCAGUUCCCCUACUUUGGUGUACUGGGAGAUUGGAUGAGGGCCAGGUCACAGGAGACCUAUUGUGAACCUUGACUUUGUUCAAAACUUUGUUUCUGUGUGCUUCUGUAUGAUUAAUUAAUAUGUACUGUGUGAUCUCUCCUUAUCAGGAAAGGGGAGUGACUUAUUAUCAUGAGUCAUAAAUUUAUCAUGAGUGUGCUAGUGCUGAUAUUGCCGUCAGAAUAACAUCGCAUGAAGUAUGUAUUCAUUCACAUGCACUGCCGUGAAGGCUGCCCUUAUCUGAAGAGGAAUUAGGACUUGGGACGUCCUCAGCUGUUUGUUUUUGCAUAUGGCUAAUGGGUAGAACAUUCUGUUGGUUGUAACCAAAAAGGGUCUCUAAGUUCUCUUGUUUUUUAAUGCAGGUCACAUGACUCUGAAUGUUUAUUUGCGGUUUUAACUUAACCAAGCACUUGGCUGUGUGAAGGAGAGUAUUUGCAGGGGCUCUGUAAUGCACGGCCUUACCCGGCCUCUGCUAAAAACGGGCCUCAACUAACCGACUUGAAUAAAAUUUGAAACCUA